GAUGAACGCUGGCGGCGUGCCUAAUACAUGCAAGUCGAGCGAACAGACGAGGAGCUUGCUCCUCUGACGUUAGCGGCGGACGGGUGAGUAACACGUGGAUAACCUACCUAUAAGACUGGGAUAACUUCGGGAAACCGGAGCUAAUACCGGAUAAUAUAUUGAACCGCAUGGUUCAAUAGUGAAAGACGGUUUUGCUGUCACUUAUAGCUGGAUCCGCGCCGCAUUAGCUAGUUGGUAAGGUAACGGCUUACCAAGGCAACGAUGCGUAGCCGACCUGAGAGGGUGAUCGGCCACACUGGAACUGAGACACGGUCCAGACGCCUAAGGGAGGCAGCAGUAGGGAAUCUUCCGCAAUGGGCGAAAGCCUGACGGAGCAACGCCGCGUGAGUGAUGAAGGUCUUCGGAUCGUAAAACUCUGUUAUUAGGGAAGAACAAAUGUGUAAGUAACUAUGCACGGCUUGACGGUAACUAAUCAGAAAGCCACGGCUAACUACGUG
RNAcentral lists this ribosomal RNA (497 nucleotides) under uncultured bacterium. RNAcentral describes it as "partial 16S ribosomal RNA". It matches the Rfam family "Bacterial small subunit ribosomal RNA", at positions 28 to 507 of the family's 1533-position model. The record is from RNAcentral.